UAUAAAGUGUUAAAUAAUGUAAAGUAUGUUAUUAUAUGUUUACCGAGCAGUAAUUCUUAUACUUUACUGUGUUAGAGGGGAGAGCAACGAAAUGUGAGAUCGAGUGUUAAUGACCAUGUGAGCUUUUGCUGUGUGCUUCGUGGAAUCAGUCGGAGAGAGCACAUAUAGGCCACUGCCGUUGUUUUGUACGCCGUUGUUUUGUACGCCGUUUUUCCGUUUUUGUAACCUUGUUUGCACCGGGUAAAAUUGAAGGGCCUGUAAUCCUGUGAAACCUCGUCAGGAAAGUUAAGACCACUGACGUUAAUUAGUUGGUUGUCUCUGUAAAUUUAUUUAUUUUUAUUUUCUUUACUUUGUCUUACCCUGAAUUAGACCUUAAUGCUGAGUUUCCUUUUAAGCUCAGUCAAGAAUAAAAGAACCCUUAUUUGUUAGA
Molecule: long non-coding RNA, 430 nt
Organism: Puntigrus tetrazona (Sumatra barb)
Lineage: Eukaryota; Metazoa; Chordata; Actinopteri; Cypriniformes; Cyprinidae
Exons: 2
Source: RefSeq, a predicted model, not a curated record